Molecule: long non-coding RNA, 474 nt
Organism: Raphanus sativus (radish)
Lineage: Eukaryota; Viridiplantae; Streptophyta; Magnoliopsida; Brassicales; Brassicaceae
Exons: 3
Source: RefSeq, a predicted model, not a curated record
AGGUAUGAAGCACGUCUGAACCGGCCCAGCGGGGGCAAUUAAUUUGGGUGGAAUUAAUAUCAAUUUCCAGAGGAGUUGAUGAACAACGCAAUAUGGUAGUUAUACGAAGAAGAUAGAAGAAAUCAGAGAGCACCACGUCUAGUCCAGAUGAAAAUUUGAGCUACAAUGAGAUUGUGGAAUCAGCCGUGAAGCUAUUAUGAACAACUCAUGGGGAACAAAGAACUAUUUAAAGAAGAAACCUCACAGGAGAACACAACGGAGGAAAACGAUGGUGAUGGUGUUGAAUUAGAAGAUUUGAUGAAUGAGUAACCCAUUUCUUUAAUCUAUUAUGUGGUAGAGUAUUAUGUGGUAAGAGUAUUAUAUGUAGACUGUAGUGGAGGUAUAUUCAUGUUAAUACACAGAGAAAAAAGGAACCUAAACACUAAACUUAUUUCAUUGAACAGACGUUAAUUAUAUCCUCUUAGUCACCCAUCC